Molecule: ribosomal RNA, 483 nt
Filed under: uncultured bacterium
Lineage: Bacteria
Description: partial 16S ribosomal RNA
Rfam family: Bacterial small subunit ribosomal RNA
Source: RNAcentral
GACGAACGCUGGCGGCGUGCUUAACACAUGCAAGUCGAACGAUGAAGCCGGAGCUUGCUCCGGUGGAUUAGUGGCGAACGGGUGAGUAACACGUGAGAAAUCUGCCCUUGACUCUGGGAUAACUGCGGGAAACUGUAGCUAAUACCGGAUACGACACCUUGGGGCAUCCCAGGGUGUGGAAAGAAUUUCGGUCAAGGAUGAGCUCGCGGCCUAUCAGCUAGUUGGUGAGGUAAUGGCUCACCAAGGCGACGACGGGUAGCCGGCCUGAGAGGGUGACCGGCCACACUGGAACUGAGACACGGUCCAGACUCCUACGGGAGGCAGCAGCGGGGAAUAUUGCACAAUGGGCGAAAGCCUGAUGCAGCAACGCCGCGUGAGGGAUGAAGGCCUUCGGGUUGUAAACCUCUUUUAGCAGGGAAGAAGCGAAAGUGACGGUACCUGCAGAAAAAGCACCGGCUAACUACGUGCCAGCCGCCGCCGUAA